RNAcentral lists this ribosomal RNA (253 nucleotides) under uncultured bacterium. Its description in RNAcentral is "partial 16S ribosomal RNA". It matches the Rfam family "Bacterial small subunit ribosomal RNA", at positions 524 to 776 of the family's 1533-position model. The record is from RNAcentral.
UACGGAGGGGGCGAGCGUUAUUCGGAAUUAUUGGGCGUAAAGGGCGCGUAGGCGGCCCGGUAAGUCAAAGGUGAAAUCCCUCGGCUCAACUGAGGAACUGCCUUUGAAACUGUCGGGCUUGAGGGUCGGAGAGGGGCGUGGAAUUCCGGGUGGAGCGGUGAAAUGCGUAGAGAUCCGGAGGAACACCGACGGCGUAGGCAGCGCCCUGGACGACACCUGACGCUGAGGCACGAAAGCUGGGGGAGCGAACAGG